CGCUCAUCCAGAGGGGCAGAGGGAUCGGCCCGAAGAAGCCCCGGCAACCUGUCACCAGUCAUCAGACUGGGUGAUCACGGUGCCAAUUCCGACCCGCGAAAGCGGGAAAGAUGAGGA
RNAcentral lists this non-coding RNA (117 nucleotides) under Actinosynnema mirum. RNAcentral describes it as "SAM-I sequence". It matches the Rfam family "SAM riboswitch aptamer (S box leader)". From Rfam's summary of the family: The SAM riboswitch is found upstream of a number of genes which code for proteins involved in methionine or cysteine biosynthesis in Gram-positive bacteria. The record is from RNAcentral. Lineage: Bacteria; Bacillati; Actinomycetota; Actinomycetes; Pseudonocardiales; Pseudonocardiaceae. RNAcentral also lists the same sequence under 1 other name.